Molecule: long non-coding RNA, 332 nt
Filed under: Panax ginseng (ginseng)
Lineage: Eukaryota; Viridiplantae; Streptophyta; Magnoliopsida; Apiales; Araliaceae
Description: long non-coding RNA (PGIN_LNC012993)
Source: RNAcentral
UUUUUGUGUCGGGGUUACAAUUCACGUAUACGGCACUAUUCACGAAUACGACACUAUUUACCGAAAAAUGAAAUUUUCUCCUGUUUGUCCAAGAUGUCUAUUAUGGUUACUAUCUUUGAUUGUAUCCAUGUUUUGAUCUUUAUUUUUGAAAUCUGCUUCACAAUUGGUUAUUAUGGAGUAUUAUUGAACUUGGAUAAACUGUAAUACGAAUCCCUAAUAUUUGUUUCUUUUAUCUCACUAGAUUCAUUUUCUUUAAGAUAUUUUUCAUCGUCCUUAGUCCUAAAUGAUGAUAUUAUUGAAUAUCUCUGGCCUGCAGUGCAAAGAUGAAUAAU